GGGAAUGUGGCUUAAUGGUCAAGUGCUUGCCUAGCAUGCAUGAAGCCCUGGGUUCGAUUCCUCAGUACCA
RNAcentral lists this transfer RNA (70 nucleotides) under Dipodomys ordii (Ord's kangaroo rat). It matches the Rfam family "tRNA". From Rfam's summary of the family: Transfer RNA (tRNA) molecules are approximately 80 nucleotides in length. Their secondary structure includes four short double-helical elements and three loops (D, anti-codon, and T loops). Lineage: Eukaryota; Metazoa; Chordata; Mammalia; Rodentia; Heteromyidae. The record is from Rfam by way of RNAcentral.